Molecule: RNA transcript, 578 nt
Organism: Manduca sexta (tobacco hornworm)
Lineage: Eukaryota; Metazoa; Arthropoda; Insecta; Lepidoptera; Sphingidae
Gene name: dynein light chain Tctex-type 1
Exons: 3
Source: RefSeq, a predicted model, not a curated record
UAUGUGUGAGGAGCAUGAGUCAACACGCUCACUACGAUGGCGUCUAGGUAGAGACUUGGAUCAGUCCCUUUACCCCGUUAUACCCCGCAACACCCGCGCCCAAAAAAUAGUGAAAUUCGUUCUCGUGGAUAAAAUGACUUUAUGAAUACAAGCUAAAACAUCUAUUAGUUGACUCUAUAAACAUGCCGGGAAUACGAUGGUGGAGUUCUCUAGACGUCGAUAAACUACAAGAAUUUGGUUUUCAACGUGGAGGAGGUCCAGAAAAUUGUUCGUGACAAUAUUGAAUUGUGUCUCGGUGGUAACACUUACAGCCACUCCAGAACUCCACAGUGGAUAACGAUUAUCACAGAGAAGACCUUGGCACGACUAAAUAAGCUGAAUAAGCCCUUUAAAUACUUAAUGCGUAUAACUAUAACACAAAAGAAUGGCACAGGACUGCAUACAGCGGCGGCGUACUUUUGGGACACAGCAACUGACGGAACAUGCACAGUUCGGUGGGAAAACAAAUACAUGUACUGCAUUAUUAAUGUAUGGGGUCUUGCUCUUCAAAUAUAAUUUCCAUAACUAAUAUUAUAUAC